ACAGCAGUCGCCACGGUAAUACGAGGGGGGCAAGCGUUGUUCGGAAUUAUUGGGCGUAAAGGGCGCGUAGGCGGUUUGGCAAGUUUGGUGUGAAAUCUUCGGGCUCAACUCGAAGUCUGCAUCGAAAACUGCCGGGCUUGAGUAUGGGAGAGGUGAGUGGAAUUUCCGGUGUAGCGGUGAAAUGCGUAGAUAUCGGAAGGAACACUUGUGGCGAAAGCGGCUCACUGGACCAUUACUGACGCUGAGGCGCGAAAGCUAGGGGAGCAAACAGGAUUAGAUACCCCGGUAGUCCCUGUCUCUUAUAC
Molecule: ribosomal RNA, 305 nt
Filed under: uncultured bacterium
Lineage: Bacteria
Description: partial 16S ribosomal RNA
Rfam family: Bacterial small subunit ribosomal RNA
Source: RNAcentral